RNAcentral lists this ribosomal RNA (465 nucleotides) under Vreelandella stevensii. Its description in RNAcentral is "partial 16S ribosomal RNA". It matches the Rfam family "Bacterial small subunit ribosomal RNA", at positions 338 to 795 of the family's 1533-position model. Lineage: Bacteria; Pseudomonadati; Pseudomonadota; Gammaproteobacteria; Oceanospirillales; Halomonadaceae. The record is from RNAcentral.
CCUACGGGUGGCAGCAGUGGGGAAUAUUGGACAAUGGGGGCAACCCUGAUCCAGCCAUGCCGCGUGUGUGAAGAAGGCCCUCGGGUUGUAAUGCACUUUCAGUGAGGAAGAACGCCUGGUGGUUAAUACCCAUCAGGAAAGACAUCACUCACAGAAGAAGCACCGGCUAACUCCGUGCCAGUAGCCGCGGUAAUACGGAGGGUGCGAGCGUUAAUCGGAAUUACUGGGCGUAAAGCGCGCGUAGGUGGCUUGAUAAGCCGGUUGUGAAAGCCCCGGGCUCAACCUGGGAACGGCAUCCGGAACUGUCAAGCUAGAGUGCAGGAGAGGAAGGUAGAAUUCCCGGUGUAGCGGUGAAAUGCGUAGAGAUCGGGAGGAAUACCAGUGGCGAAGGCGGCCUUCUGGACUGACACUGACACUGAGGUGCGAAAGCGUGGGUAGCAAACAGGAUUAGAUACCCUGGUAGUC